Molecule: non-coding RNA, 86 nt
Filed under: Dielma fastidiosa
Lineage: Bacteria; Bacillati; Bacillota; Erysipelotrichia; Erysipelotrichales; Erysipelotrichaceae
Description: Purine riboswitch
Rfam family: Purine riboswitch aptamer (bases 11-79)
About the family: Riboswitches are metabolite binding domains within certain messenger RNAs that serve as precision sensors for their corresponding targets. Allosteric rearrangement of mRNA structure is mediated by ligand binding, and this results in modulation of gene expression. A class of riboswitches that selectively recognises guanine and becomes saturated at concentrations as low as 5 nM.
Source: RNAcentral
AGGUAUUUGUUCAUCAUAUAAGCUUCUGAUAAGGGGAAGCGUUUCUACCUGGCACCGUAAAUGCCGGACUAUGAUGAAAGCAUCUU